This is a non-coding RNA of Ylistrum balloti, 71 nucleotides long. The record is from the annotation of a RefSeq genome assembly. NCBI's taxonomy places the organism in Eukaryota, Metazoa, Mollusca, Bivalvia, Pectinida, Pectinidae.
GGUGCUAAGCCGGGUGUUAGCGGGCUACUUUGAUGUGGUAGGUUUCAAGGGUUAUAAUCCCUUUAGCACUU